Oryzias melastigma (Indian medaka) is the source of this 540-nucleotide long non-coding RNA. RefSeq lists it as uncharacterized. The transcript is spliced from 2 exons. NCBI's taxonomy places the organism in Eukaryota, Metazoa, Chordata, Actinopteri, Beloniformes, Adrianichthyidae. The record is from RefSeq and is a predicted model, not a curated record.
GAUUAUAGAAAUAGAAAAAGUUAUAAGUAAAAAUGAUCUUCAUUAGUUAAUGAAAAAAAAAAUCAAAAAAUGAUUAUACUUAUUUAGUUCACAUUUCACUUUGUGCUUGAAUUAAAGAGUCAAACAUGCGUAAUCCCACAGUUCUCAAAGUCCUUCAUGGAUUUUAUUUCCAGAGGCUUUGUAACGUCCGGUGGUCCGAGUGGUUUCACAAAGAUUCUGGAGUUCAGAGUCCACGUACUGUGGAUCUGUUUCCUCGAUCGUAGGAGCCUCGCGUGCUUCGCCAGAUCAGCGUAAUAUUUACACAGAUGAUCGUUAAGAUAAACAGCAGAACCCUUCAGGUUUUUACGUUGUUUCAUCAGAGCUAUCUUGUGCUUUCGAUUCACAAACCUGAUCAGGAUCGCUGGUUUAUCCGUAUUCUUUCUCCGAGGAAGCGGAUGACAGACCUCAACAGUGUUUAGGUCCAAGGAAAUCCCUUUAGACGCAAGAAAGUCUCCGACUUGAUUCUCCACGGUCACGUUUGCUCCCAUAUCAGCUCCGUUA